GGUGAGUAACACGUGAGCAACCUGCCCUUCACUCUGGGAUAACCUCGGGAAAUCGGGGCUAAUACCGGAUAUGAGCUCCUGUCGCAUGGCGGGUGUUGGAAAGUUUUUCGGUGAAGGAUGGGCUCGCGGCCUAUCAGUUUGUUGGUGAGGUAGUGGCUCACCAAGGCGAUGACGGGUAGCCGGCCUGAGAGGGCGACCGGCCACACUGGGACUGAGACACGGCCCAGACUCCUACGGGAGGCAGCAGUGGGGAAUAUUGCACAAUGGGCGAAAGCCUGAUGCAGCGACGCCGCGUGAGGGAUGACGGCCUUCGGGUUGUAAACCUCUUUCAGCAGGGAAGAAGCGAAAGUGACGGUACCUGCAGAAGAAGCGCCGGCUAACUACGUGCCAGCAGCCGCGGUAAUACGUAGGGCGCAAGCGUUGUCCGGAAUUAUUGGGCGUAAAGAGCUUGUAGGUGGCUUGUCGCGUCUGCCGUGAAAACCCGAGGCUCAACCUCGGGCGUGCGGUGGGUACGGGCAGGCUAGAGUGUGGUAGGGGAGACUGGAACUCCUGGUGUAGCGGUGAAAUGCGCAGAUAUCAGGAAGAACACCGAUGGCGAAGGCAGGUCUCUGGGCCAUUACUGACACUGAGAAGCGAAAGCAUGGGGAGCGAACAGGAUUAGAUACCCUGGUAGUCCAUGCCGUAAACGUUGGGCACUAGAUGUGGGGAACAUUCCACGUUUUCCGCGUCG
RNAcentral lists this ribosomal RNA (730 nucleotides) under Dermabacteraceae bacterium. RNAcentral's name for it is "bacterial SSU rRNA". It matches the Rfam family "Bacterial small subunit ribosomal RNA", at positions 105 to 848 of the family's 1533-position model. Lineage: Bacteria; Bacillati; Actinomycetota; Actinomycetes; Micrococcales; Dermabacteraceae. The record is from RNAcentral.